Molecule: long non-coding RNA, 3737 nt
Filed under: Capsicum annuum
Lineage: Eukaryota; Viridiplantae; Streptophyta; Magnoliopsida; Solanales; Solanaceae
Description: long non-coding RNA (CANN_LNC001888)
Source: RNAcentral
CACCAGCAAAAAGCUGCUCCGACGAAGAAACCAUCCGGUCCGGCGGCGGCGGCUAAGAAGCAGCCGGCGAAGCUCCCUACGAAGCCACCUCCUCCGACUCAGGCUGGUGAGAAUCAGCUCUGCUUUUUUUAUGUUUUAUUUCCUUCAAUCAAUGUUUAUCGAUGCAAAAGUCGAGCAUACAUGGUUAAUUAUUUGUAAAUUUUGAUGUAAAUCUUAAUACUUGGUCACCUAACCUUCGUUAUAGUUUGAGGCGGGUCAAUGGCACAGUCCCGUGGAUUCAACAAGUAUAAAACAAUGAGUACUGAGUGCAGAAACUAUAAAGAUCUAUAAGAAUAAAAUCCGGCAUGCUACUAGAAUAUGUGGGGAAGAACAAGAGUCAAAAAUUGCUAUCUCAUCAGAUUGGUGAAGAUGCCCCAUUUAAGAAGAUUGAUAGCCAUAAAGUGAAAAGUGAGUUGUGAAUGUCUCCCAGGUCUUCAAUAUAUUAAAAGUGACAAGUGGGUCUCACAAUAUUAUUAAGUUUAAAAAGGUAAAGUUGCUCAAACAACCGGAGACAAUUGUUCGACAACUGCAUUAGUUGUCCCGAUGGCUAUCAAAGUUGUCCAACAACUUUGCACAGUUAUCCAACAACUUUUAUAGUUGUUGGAGCAAAAAUAUUAAAAUAAAAAACUGAAAGAAAUUUGUCACUUUUACCUAAUUUUUAAAAUUUGAAGAACCGCCACUUAAUUGACAAACUUAUUUGUCACUUUUAAUUGCAUAUCCCGCCAUAAAGAGUAAGGUUUGAUGGUUAAUGAUGAAGAAUAAAGGGUCAAUUAAUUUGGUCAGAAUAACCCUAGAGAAGAUUUUAAUAUCCUCUCAUUAACCACUCGUUCAAUGCUAAUUAAUGCAUAUUAUGAAUGAACUCGUGUAACGGCGGGGGUGCCACGGUACACACACGCCUCUGUCGAAAUUUAUUAUAUAUGUGUGUGUAUUAUAUAAUGUGUGUAUUAUAUAAUAUAUUACAAAUAUUGAAAUUGCCACCCCCAGUAACAAUGUAGCGCAUGGUGUCAAUGGUAGCAGGUCAAAUUCUAUGACUCUCGGACUCGAGUUCUAUUCCAACAUGACACAUUUUGUUGGUUCAUUUUUGUGUCUUUUUCAUUUCUUUUGUAAAAAUAGGUUCUCACGGAGAUUCGAUCCCACGAGAAGCUUGAUUUGGAGCUAUCAACUUAGCCAUUAGGCGAUAGGCACCAUAUACUCAAUAGAUGUAUUACUAUAUUAUAUUCACGAUCUAUUCAUUUGAUACCAAGUUGUAAACGUUCUUGAUUUUUGUUGACAUUUAAAUUUUUUUGCUGAUUUUUUCUUCCUUUUUAUUUUAAGAAUAAAAUAUUACUUCCCCCGUCUCAAUUUAUGUGCACACUUUUCUUUUUAGGCUAUCACAAAAAGAAUACUAUCUUUCUAUAAUUAGAAAUAACUUAACUUUAAGGUUCUCCUUUUAUCCCUAAUGAAAUAAUUUAUAGUCACAUAAGUUGCCAUAAUCAUUUCAUUUUCUUGGUUCGAUCCAUUUAUCUUUAUAAAUCGAAAAGACGAAUAAACAACGAAGUUUUCCCGCGUAGAAAAUUGGUUAAUAUUUGGUCGAUUUGAUCAAUACGUCUAUAUUUAAAGCAAUAUGGCACCCAUAACCUUUCCAAAUCCUGGAACCGCUUCUAAAUUUAAGGGAAUCUGAGUAGCGAGAAACAGAUGGGAAGUAAAAAGGAUUUGACUGAACUUCGAUGAACUGUUAAUUUGUCUUAUAAGAGAAAUAUCAUUGUUGAUGAAAUGAAACGAAACCCAGCUAAAUUAGGAAGAAUAGAGAAAAUUCCUACAGAUGACCCCAACAUUAAUUGGGUUUGAUGCAUAGCUGUUGUCUGUAAAGCGGUACCUCGGGAAACAAUCUUUCAAUUGUGAUGUGUUUGCUAACUAUGGGAGUACUUGUCUGGGUUCUAAAUUUAAUAUUUGUAUACAUUUAUAUAUUUAAUGACCUUUUAACAUAGAUACACAAUUUGAGCAAAAUCUAUUGGGUUCAGCCGAACCCGUUUUGGGGCUUCUAGCUCCGCCCCUGCUAAUUGCUAUCCACUCAUUUGUGUAUUUGCACGUGAUUUAUUUUUAUAGGCAUGGUAAAGUUGUUAGUUUAAAAGGGAAGUUGUGAAUGAUCCAUUAAAGAAUAGUGCUAGUUUCUCCGAUUCUACUUCUUAUAUGGUGUGUGUGUGUGUGUGGUGGUGGUGGUGGUGGUGUCCUAAAUGAUCUAUGCUCUGUUUUGGAAUAAUGAUGUAUCAUGCAAAUAAUAUUGUCUGAUAAUAAUCACACGGAUAGUCAUUUGUUGAAUUUAAACUGCAUAAAAUUAUUUUUCUAAUGUUUUUUGGUGGGAGUCAAAAUAUGUCCUCCUACCAUGGUUUAAACUUUUCAUUUUUCUAUCUUUGAUGAUUACACAAUCAGUAAAACAUUAUCAUCUCAUAUUUUUUCUUAUGUAUAUCAGCUUGCCCGACUUUCUGGAAUUUCGAUUUCAACUCCUAAUUACUAUGAGACCAACUUGGUGCAUUGUCAAUGCUUAUUUAUCAAAAGGAAAGUUAUCAUGAUCUGUGUAGACCUUCAAAUGUUACAGUCUAUAGGUGUGACAUAAUUGUGAUUAGAAGUGGCAAAAGGGGGCUAGGUAUGUUUAAAAUCACACGACUAAUUGUAGAUGAAUUCUUUAUCUUAGGAUUGAUGCGACUUUGCUAAGAGUAUUAACAUAGUUGAAGUAACGUACCCGUGCCUUGUAAAAAUAAAUUAUUAAAAAUUGAAGCCAAGUACACAGAUAGAUGAUACCAAGUAUUUAAGAUUCAUGCUUAGUAAGGAUAAGAUAAGUAUGCAUUUAAAGAACAUCUAGUUCUGUAGAAUUCCUAAAUUAUUUUAAAUUGCUUAGCAGUAUGUGUAUUGGAUUGAAUAGAUGGAACAUAUAGAGGACUCCUAUCAGCCACUCCAAUUAGUUUGGGAUGAAGGUAUUGAUCCAACAAAAAGGAACUAGUUUAAGAUUGAGACGUAAUUUAUUGAUAUACAAAUAAAAUUAUACAACAACAACAAAAAACCCAGUGUAUUCCCACCUAGUGGGGUCUGGGGGGGUAAGAUGUACGCAGUCCAUACCUCUACCUCUGAAGAAGUAGAAAGGCUUUUUGUCUUAUUUAUGGUCUCUCUUCAAAAGAAGGAGCAAGAAUUCAAUUCCUUCUGUUAUUCAAGCCUUUUGGUCUUGGCAUUUCACUUUUUAUAUUCUAUACAAGAUGUCUGAUUGUAGCCAGUUCUCUGUUAUUCUAUUUUGAUUUUCUCAUGCUUGUUGCUUGUCACGUUCAAAAGUGCUAGCAAAUUGACUGGAAUUAAGUGCUUCCUCUUAAAUAAUAGUACGGAUGAGUUACUUUUUUUUUCUGUCCCUCAAUCUGCCUUAGGCUUCUGUUUAUAAUCAUUGCACUUAUGGUUCCUUUCCUCUUUUUUCUUUUGCCAGUAUUCAAAAUUUGUACUUAUUUCUUCUCUGUUUUAACUGUGUAGUGAGGGAGGCAAAAACAGAAUUUGGACGUGGUGGAGGUAGUGGUGGUGGACGUGGCUACAGCCGUGGUCGUGGUGGAGGUGGGUUUAAUAGGGAAUCAUCCAACAAUGAGAACUUUCCUCGCAACAGAGAAUUUUCAGGUGGCAUAGUUGCACCUGAAUAUGUGGAAGGAGGAAGACCCUCUGAAAGACGUGGUGGUUAUGGUGGACCC